RNAcentral lists this transfer RNA (75 nucleotides) under Bacteroidota bacterium. RNAcentral describes it as "tRNA-Val". It matches the Rfam family "tRNA". From Rfam's summary of the family: Transfer RNA (tRNA) molecules are approximately 80 nucleotides in length. Their secondary structure includes four short double-helical elements and three loops (D, anti-codon, and T loops). Further hydrogen bonds mediate the characteristic L-shaped molecular structure. tRNAs have two regions of fundamental functional importance: the anti-codon, which is responsible for specific mRNA codon recognition, and the 3' end, to which the tRNAs corresponding amino acid is attached (by aminoacyl-tRNA synthetases). tRNAs cope with the degeneracy of the genetic code in two manners: having more than one tRNA (with a specific anti-codon) for a particular amino acid; and 'wobble' base-pairing, i.e. permitting non-standard base-pairing at the 3rd anti-codon position. Lineage: Bacteria; Pseudomonadati; Bacteroidota. RNAcentral also lists the same sequence under 1 other name. The record is from RNAcentral.
GGGCGCUUAGCUCAGCUGGUUCAGAGCACCACCUUGACAAGGUGGGGGUCGUUGGUUCGAAUCCAAUAGCGCCCA